RNAcentral lists this ribosomal RNA (372 nucleotides) under uncultured organism. RNAcentral's name for it is "partial 16S ribosomal RNA". It matches the Rfam family "Bacterial small subunit ribosomal RNA", at positions 527 to 896 of the family's 1533-position model. The record is from RNAcentral.
GUAGGUGGCAGGCGUUGUCCGGAAUUAUUGGGCGUAAAGCGCGCGCAGGCGGUUCUUUAAGUCUGAUGUGAAAGCCCACGGCUCAACCGUGGAGGGUCAUUGGAAACUGGAGAACUUGAGUACAGAAGAGGAAAGCGGAAUUCCACGUGUAGCGGUGAAAUGCGUAGAGAUGUGGAGGAACACCAGUGGCGAAGGCGGCUUUCUGGUCUGUAACUGACGCUGAGGCGCGAAAGCGUGGGGAGCAAACAGGGAUUAGAUACCCUGGUAGUCCACGCCGUAAACGAUGAGUGCUAAGUGUUAGGGGGUUUCCGCCCCCUUAGUGCUGCAGCUAACGCAUUAAGCACUCCGCCUGGGGAUACGGCCGCAAGGCUG